RNAcentral lists this ribosomal RNA (253 nucleotides) under uncultured bacterium. RNAcentral describes it as "partial 16S ribosomal RNA". It matches the Rfam family "Bacterial small subunit ribosomal RNA", at positions 524 to 776 of the family's 1533-position model. The record is from RNAcentral.
UACAGAGGUCUCGAGCGUUGUUCGGAUUCAUUGGGCGUAAAGGGUGCGUAGGCGGCGCGGUAAGUCGGGUGUGAAAUCUCGGGGCUUAACUCCGAAACUGCAUUCGAUACUGCCGUGCUUGAGGACUGGAGAGGAGACUGGAAUUUACGGUGUAGCGGUGAAAUGCGUAGAUAUCGUAAGGAAGACCAGUGGCGAAGGCGGGUCUCUGGACAGUUCCUGACGCUGAGGCACGAAGGUCAGGGGAGCAAACGGG